AUACGGAGGGUGCAAGCGUUGUUCGGAAUUACUGGGCGUAAAGCGCGCGUAGGCGGUCUGUUAUGUCAGAUGUGAAAGUCCUCGGCUCAACCGGGGAAGUGCAUUCGAAACUGGCAGACUUGAGUACUGGAGGGGGUGGUGGAAUUCCCGGUGUAGAGGUGAAAUUCGUAGAUAUCGGGAGGAAUACCGGUGGCGAAGGCGACCACCUGGCCAGAUACUGACGCUGAGGUGCGAAAGCGUGGGGAGCAAACAGGAUUAGAUACCCUAGUAGUCCC
Molecule: ribosomal RNA, 275 nt
Filed under: uncultured bacterium
Lineage: Bacteria
Description: partial 16S ribosomal RNA
Rfam family: Bacterial small subunit ribosomal RNA
Source: RNAcentral